AUUGAACGCUGGCGGAAUGCUUUACACAUGCAAGUCGAACGGCAGCAUAGGUGCUUGCACCUGAUGGCGAGUGGCGAACGGGUGAGUAAUACAUCGGAACGUGCCCAGUCGUGGGGGAUAACGUAGCGAAAGUUACGCUAAUACCGCAUACGAUCUAAGGAUGAAAGCGGGGGACCGUAAGGCCUCGCGCGAUCGGAGCGGCCGCUGUCAGAUUAGGUAGUUGGUGAGGUAAAGGCUCACCAAGCCGACGAUCUGUAGCUGGUCUGAGAGGACGACAAGCCACACUGGGACUGAGACACGGCCCAGACUCCUACGGGAGGCAGCAGUUGGGAAUUUUGGACAAUGGACGCAAGUCUGAUCCAGCCAUUCCGCGUGCAGGACGAAGGCCUUCGGGUUGUAAACUGCUUUUGUACGGAACGAGAAAGCUCUUACUAAUACUAGGAGUCCAUGACGGUACCGUAAGAAUAAGCACCGGCUAACUACGUGCCAGCCGCCGCAGUAA
RNAcentral lists this ribosomal RNA (502 nucleotides) under uncultured bacterium. RNAcentral's name for it is "partial 16S ribosomal RNA". It matches the Rfam family "Bacterial small subunit ribosomal RNA", at positions 30 to 523 of the family's 1533-position model. The record is from RNAcentral.